AACGAACGCUGGCGGCAUGCCUAACACAUGCAAGUCGAACGAGACCUCCGGGUCUAGUGGCUCACGGGUGCGUAACGCGUGGGAACCUGCGCUGAGGUUCGGAAUAACUCCCCGGAAGGGGUGCUAAUAACGGAUAAUGUCUUCGGACCAAAGAUUUAUCGCCUUUGGAUGGGCCCGCGUUGGAUUAGCUAGUUGGUAGGGUAAAAGCCUACCAAGGCGACGAUCCAUAGCUGGUCUGAGAGGAUGAUCAGCCACACUGGGACUGAGACACGGCCCAGACUCCUACGGGAGGCAGCAGUGGGGAAUAUUGGAGAAUGGGCGAGAGCCUGAUCCAGCAAUGCCGCGUGAGUGAUGAAGGCCUUAGGGUUGUAAAGCUCUUUUACCCGGGAUGAUAAUGACAGUACCGGGAGAAUAAGCUCCGGCUAACUCCGUG
Molecule: ribosomal RNA, 433 nt
Filed under: uncultured bacterium
Lineage: Bacteria
Description: partial 16S ribosomal RNA
Rfam family: Bacterial small subunit ribosomal RNA
Source: RNAcentral